GAUGAACGCUAGCUACAGGCUUAACACAUGCAAGUCGCGGGGCAGCAUUUUCCUAGCUUGCUAGGGAAGAUGGCGACCGGCGCACGGGUGAGUAACGCGUAUCCAACCUUCCCAUGUCCACGGGAUAGCCCGUCGAAAGGCGGAUUAAUACCGUAUGAGGUCACAUGCGGGCAUCUAAAUGUGACGAAAGGUUUUGCGGACAUGGAUGGGGAUGCGUCCGAUUAGCUAGUUGGCGGGGUAACGGCCCACCAAGGCGACGAUCGGUAGGGGUUCUGAGAGGAAGGUCCCCCACAUUGGAACUGAGACACGGUCCAAACUCCUACGGGAGGCAGCAGUGGGGGAUAUUGCGCAAUGGGGGCAACCCUGACGCAGCAACGCCGCGUGAAGGAAGAAGGUUUUCGGAUUGUAAACUUCUUUUGUUAAGGACGAAGAAUGACGGUACUUAACGAAUAAGCUCCGGCUAACUAUGUG
This 471-nucleotide ribosomal RNA is filed under the name uncultured bacterium. RNAcentral's name for it is "bacterial SSU rRNA". It matches the Rfam family "Bacterial small subunit ribosomal RNA", at positions 28 to 507 of the family's 1533-position model. The record is from RNAcentral.